This is a non-coding RNA of Cephalotus follicularis, 47 nucleotides long. Lineage: Eukaryota; Viridiplantae; Streptophyta; Magnoliopsida; Oxalidales; Cephalotaceae. The record is from Rfam.
AUAAAGGAUCCCAUAGGAUCCAUCCAUCAAAACCAUUCAAAAUCCUU